RNAcentral lists this unclassified non-coding RNA (431 nucleotides) under soil metagenome. RNAcentral's name for it is "partial contains 5.8S ribosomal RNA, internal transcribed spacer 2, and large subunit ribosomal RNA". The stretch from base 1 to 120 matches the Rfam family "5.8S ribosomal RNA", at positions 35 to 154 of the family's 154-position model. The record is from RNAcentral.
GAUGAAGAACGCAGCGAAAUGCGAUACGUAAUGUGAAUUGCAGAAUUCAGUGAAUCAUCGAAUCUUUGAACGCACAUUGCACUCUCUGGUAUUCCGGAGAGUAUGCUUGUUUGAGUAUCUGUAAACAUCUCAAAUCUCUCUUCAAUUGCUUCAAUUGGGUCGAGAGAAUUGGAUUUGAGCGAUCCCGACUCCUUCGUCAGAAAGAGGAGGGGCGCUUGAAAUGCAGGUGCAGCUGGACAUUCUUCUGAGCAAAAAGCAUAUCUAUUUAGUCCCGUCAAACGGAUUAUUACUUUUGCUUCAGCUAAUAUAAAGGUUGAAUGAACUACCAACGCUGAUUGCAGGAAAACAUGUUCGUUUAUUCGGACUUGUAAACUCGAUCUCAAAUCAAGUAAGACUACCCGCUGAACUUAAGCAUAUCAAUAAGCGGAGGA